CUCCGGGUUGAUCCCGCCGGACCCGACUGCCAUCAGAGUGGGACUAAGCCAUGCGAGUCAACGUAGCAAUACGUGGCAUACGGCUCAGUAACACGUAGUCAACAUGCCCAGGGGACGAGGAUAACCUCGGGAAACUGAGGAUAAACCUCGAUAGGCCAUGAUUUCUGGAAUGAUUCUUGGCUCAAACCUAUAUGGCCCCUGGAUUGGACUGCGGCCGAUCAGGCUGUUGGUGAGGUAAUGGCCCACCAAACCUAUUACCGGUACGGGCUCUGAGAGGAGGAGCCCGGAGAUGGGCACUGAGACAAGGGCCCAGGCCCUAUGGGGCGCAGCAGGCGCGAAACCUCUGCAAUAGGCGAAAGCUUGACAGGGUUACUCUGAGUGAUUUCCGCUAAGGGAAUCUUUUGGCACCUCUAAAAAUGGUGCAGAAUAAGGGGUGGGCAAGUCUGGUGUCAGCCGCCGCGGUAAUACCAGCACCCCGAGUGGUCGGGACGAUUAUUGGGCCUAAAGCAUCCGUAGCCGGUCCUGCAAGUCUUCCGUUAAAUCCAGCUGCUCAACAGAUGGGCUGCGGGAGAUACUACAGGGCUAGGAGGCGGGAGAGGCAAGCGGUACUUUAUGGGUAGGGGUAAAAUCCGCUGAUCCAUAGAAGACCACCAGUGGCGAAGGCGGCUUGCCAGAACGCGCUCGACGGUGAGGGAUGAAAGCUGGGGGAGCAAACCGGAUUAGAUACCCGGGUAGUCCCAGCUGUAAACGAUGCAGACUCGGUGAUGAGUUGGCUUAUUGCUAACUCAGUGCCGCAGGGAAGCCGUUAAGUUUGCCGCCUGGGGAGUACGGUCGCAAGACUGAAACUUAAAGGAAAUUGGCGGGGGAGCA
RNAcentral lists this ribosomal RNA (870 nucleotides) under uncultured archaeon. Its description in RNAcentral is "bacterial SSU rRNA". It matches the Rfam family "Archaeal small subunit ribosomal RNA", at positions 1 to 878 of the family's 1478-position model. The record is from RNAcentral.